UAUAUUUGCAACGACCGCAUUGUCCUUUUUAUAAGGCAUAGUUGGGCGUGAUCAUAGCUCUAAUUGAAACUGAACAUUUAUUCUUUUAAUCUUUCUGUUUGUUUCAAUACUGUGCUAGAUUUGGAGGAAAACUAUGGAAGGCUCAUUUGAUUAUUGAAUUUUUCUGUUAAAACAAUAUAAUGUAGUAAUAAUUUCUGUCUUAAGUCAGACAAUAUCAUUAUACCUAGAUACCUUUUCUAUUAUGGCUGCAAUAACUUAUGAAUUAUUUAUAAAUCUAAAGAAAUUGAUUUCAAAGUAGAAUCUAUUUAGUUUUUAAUAUGCUUAAAUGUUUGUUGUAUCUCUUAAGUGGUGAUACUAUCAUCUGUAGGGGCAGUUGAUUUAUCAUAUUUGCUUGAGCAAGUAGAGGUCUAUAUUUACAAGGUUAAAGAGGAAGCUUUUAGUUGGAGACGUAUUCAUGAAAAGGUGGAGAAACAGUUGGUUGCAUGCGGCAAGGAAUGUUGACUAGAGUACAGUAGAGUUUGAUAUUAUAUUGUGUUUUUUAAUGCAUUCAUAAUAUAUUCAUGUAUGCUUUGCAGCAUAGUCUUUUAUAAUAUAUUCCACUUUUGCUCUUUAUAUUUUAUAUGUCAAAUGAAAAUAGUUUUUCCUUUCGUUGUCCUUUGCUUAAAUUUGGGGGUAUUAGUGUAUCUCCAGUUACUUCUCCUCAAUAUUGUAAGCAGAGUGUGUGAUAUAUCACUUACACAUAUGUAGUCUCUUUGUUAGCUUGUUUGGUUUCUCAUGUAACCUAGAAUCUUUAAUAUCAUUAAGCAUAUCUUUCUUUUUCCGUAAUAUGGUUAGGAUUUAUAAAAUAUUAACGUUAUAGGUCGUAAUAUAUCUGCAUCAAACCCUUCUCUCGCUCUCAAUUAAGGUGGUGUACAGGCCAGGGUAACUGACUAUUCCACGCUACCUGUAUAUGUAUGAAGUAACUGUACCCACUUUUCUGAUACUCAUAAGCGACGUUAUUUGCUAUUCAGGUUUGCACUGACUUAUUAUGGUUCAGCCCCAAAGAUAAAGCCGAAGCAACAUCUGUCUCGCUGCAUGUCUUUUUGCUAUUGGUGGUGGAAUAGAUGGAAUGUCAUUCAGGCUUGGACAUACUUUUGUGGUUAGGCCGCAAAGGUAAAGGCCAGGCAACAACUGUCUCGCUACAUGUCCUUGGGAGCAAUGGCUCGAGAUAUCCGAUGAAAUUGUCGAUGCUCAAAAAAGCUGGAGUGGACAACACUAUUGUUUUAAAACCCUACUACAUUAUAAUGAAAAGGGAUAAUUACCAUGGUGUCUCGUAAUCAGUGGCGAAACUAGAAAAUUCAAUAAGGGUAUUCAAAUUUUGAUCAAGGGUGUUUAAAAUUUAUUUUUUAAUCAAUAACAUGUAAUAUUUUACCUUAUACGUAGUAUAAUUAUUUCGCGAAGAGUGUUCAGUUGACCACCCUUGGGUCAAAGCUUCGCCCCUGCUCGUAGCGUGAAAAUGGAAAACCAGCUCGUUCUUUCUUAUAUUCUUAUCUGCUAAUUGGGGUGGAUAGUGGUAGACAGAGGCGGAUUCAGGAUUUUAAUUUUAUGGGUUUAAUAUUUAUUGUUUAUUGCAUUGAACCAAUUAAAAUUUUAAAGUUAUGGGUUCAUAUCUA
Nicotiana attenuata is the source of this 1652-nucleotide long non-coding RNA. RefSeq lists it as uncharacterized. NCBI's taxonomy places the organism in Eukaryota, Viridiplantae, Streptophyta, Magnoliopsida, Solanales, Solanaceae. The record is from RefSeq and is a predicted model, not a curated record. The transcript is spliced from 2 exons.